Long non-coding RNA from Ctenopharyngodon idella (grass carp), 1416 nucleotides. RefSeq lists it as uncharacterized. The transcript has 4 exons. The record is from RefSeq and is a predicted model, not a curated record. NCBI's taxonomy places the organism in Eukaryota, Metazoa, Chordata, Actinopteri, Cypriniformes, Xenocyprididae.
UGCUGGUCCUAUGCUGGUCCAUGCUGGUCCAUACCUUAACCAGCAUAUGCUGUUUUUUUCAGCAGGGAGAGUCAAAGCACAUGGUGAAGAUCGUUCCAUCUGCAAUAAUCCUGUUAUGUUUCGAUUUCUCCUUAGCAAGAACUGCCUGAGUUUGGCUGGCUGUCUAAUUUUGGUUAAGAACACCAAUUGGAGGACAGUACAGCAUGAAAUUGGAAGAUUGUUAUUGACAUUGCAUAGAGAAUUUUCUAUAUACAGUUUUGAAGAAGCUGUGAAACCUGCCAAUUUUCAUAGACUCAUUGGAGCGAUCCAGAGGCUGUCUGGCUAUGAUGACGAGAGUCACUACUACCAAUGCCCAAGCCUUGCGCUAAAACCGGGGCGUUCAAUGAAUAAGAUCUGUGAAAUCAUUCACUGCUGAGCACUGAUGUCUGAGGACAAGGAACUGAUCACGUCAACAGAGACCUUUAAAAAGCUCUACUCCUCAAAGUGGUCUGAGGUGAUCCCGCACACUGAAUGAGGCGAAAUUCAACAAGCCUUUGACGCUGCCUUUUAUUCAAGAUACAGUGCCUACAUCAAUUCCUUGAAAAGACUGCACAUGCUGCAUUUCAGAAAUUAAAAGAGACUGCAUCACCUCAAAGCUAUGCAGAACUAGCCAAAGCGAUGCUCACCAAAAUAAUUUUUGUCAAUUGUAGACACGCAAGGAGAGGUCUCAAAAAUGCCACUCAAAGUAAACAUGCAUAAACACGUGGCUACUCUCUCCCAAAUCCUAAACCUGAAAAACAAUGAAUUAGACCAGGUCACUGAUUUCUUAGGACAUGAUAUCCACCUCCAUCACAACUAUUACAGGCUGCCAGAAGCUACUACUCAGCUGGCUAAAAUUUCAAAAUUACUCUUAACCAUGGAAAAGGGAUGUCUUCCUAAUCUUCAAGGCAAAUCGCUUGAUGACAUUGAGAUCGAAGGUAUGUUCAUCUUAGUGUAGGUAGUACAGUGGAUCUUUUACACUCAUGGGGAGAUUUAAGGAAACUGUGAUCAUAAAGAGUUAUGUGAAAUUAUUUGAUGUGCCAUGCAUCCAUUGAGUACACUGUAGAAUGUAGUCUAAUUUGGCAUGUUUCAUAAAUGACUUUUGAAUAUGGGUUAAACAGAAGUAAGAUGUUCUUGUGUUCUAAAUUUCUCUUUUACAUUAAGAUGAGAUGGAUGAUAUGACGGAUUCUGAUGCCAGUGAUCCUGAUGAAAGUGAAUCGGAGGAUGAUGCUCCUGCUGGAGCUGCAGGAGUCUCCAGUAAUGCUGGAGGCCACGGGAGAGGAUACGUCAUAAUCGAACACGGAGGAGAAAAGCGGCGCGGAUGCUUUCAAAUGGACAGAUGAUCCGACGUGUGUUUAUUCUGUGGAGAGAGACUGAUGAAGAAAUGAUACCAUCAAA